UGAGUGGUUGGAUGUGGGGGUUUGCUGGCCUUUUGAAAGGUUUUAGCUCUCCUGAAAUGCAUUAGCAGAACAACCCUGUUCAUUGGUGUGAUAACUAUCGACACUAUUGAAUGUAAAGGGCAGUUUGGCUUUCUAACAGUCCUUGGACAACUCAUCAUUAAUGUGACCUCAAAUCAGGUAGGACUACCCGCUGAACUUAA
This 200-nucleotide unclassified non-coding RNA is filed under the name soil metagenome. Its description in RNAcentral is "partial contains internal transcribed spacer 2 and large subunit ribosomal RNA". The record is from RNAcentral.